UACAUAGAAAAAAUACACAUGACUUUAUUGGCAAGGUUCAAUUAAUAUGAGACAAUGGAUUCAUAAUUCUUGCUAUUCAAAUCUUUGGAGAAAAGUUGUAGAAAUGUAUUAUUUUGUAAAAAUACAAUUACAAAAUUGGUCAUCUAACAAAACAUAAAAUAACAAUACUUCAAAAUAAACAAAUUAUCACAACUUAAGAUUCAAAGAGUCUUCGCUUAUCUGAAUCUUCCACUGACAAAAAAAAAUCAUUCAGUUAAAUAAAAAAAAAAAAUAUAUCUCUCCAGACUAAAUUAUUACAGAGUUUUUUUCUACCACUGAAGAAAAUAAACGCUAUGAAAAAUAAGUUGGUUUACAGUAAUUUGUCUUUUUCAUACUAGGGUUGUCUCAGUGAAACAUAGAUUACUUGUCUAAAAAUCACUAACAUUAUUGAUUGGCAAAAAGCUUGCAAUUCAUUAUCCUCACAAGUUAUUGCUUAUGUGCUUGCCAAAAAAUCACUGUCAUUUUUGCUUGGUACAAUGUAAAUAUCUUGUAAUUAAUUAUUCUCUCAAGUUAUUGCUUUUGUCAAAGCCGAUCAAAAUUUUCUUCCUUUGAAUAUGGUCUAAGUAUUUACCAUUAAAUUUGAUAUCAUAUAAUAGUUUUAACAUCAGCAUGAUGGCAUGCGCAUAUUCUGCAAUCUACCACAUAUGGAUUGUUGGGAAUUAUUCAAAAUACAGUUCUGAUAGAACAACAUGCCCCAUUUGCACAUUCCUGUCAUAUAAUUUGAAAAGAAAUUUACAAUUAACAAUGAACAAGUUUAUGUCCCCUAAACUUCAUGGUUAAAACUUAAUAUUCUUAGAAACCAUUAUUUCCCAAGCUCACAUUUCUAUGUUCGGUGAACCAUGUAACUGAGGUAAAAAGUGUGAUUUGGCAUAUCAUUUCAGAUGAAUAAAAUUGAGAAUGGAAAUGGAGAAUGUGUCAAUGCGACAACAACCCGACCAAAGAAAAGAUAACAGCUGAAGGCCACCAAUGGGUCUGGAAGUUCACAUUAUUAUACAAAAUUGUGUACUUAAGCUUUAAGUUGAUGUUACCACGACACCUUCAUUGCAAACUACCUUAACCAAAAACUAUAACCUGAUAUUGUACGGACUGACUAUUGCACAGAUCAGUAUACACAAUGCCCCCUACUAUCUUAGUCAGAGCAAAAAUUCAGGUUUAGGUGUUGGCUUGAAAGUUGUUUUGUAUCCAGUAUGAACCCUGUUAACUUAAUCAAAAUGUUUUCUGUAAUCUUCAUGAUAUUCUUUGAUGAACCCUACAAACAUAGCUAGCUGAUGAUGCUCAAAAACACUCUUCAGUAAGGAGGUAUCAAUGUGAAUCAACUAUUUCCCAUAGUUACUAUGCUUUUACUUUCAAAUGUACAUACUUAAUGGUACUGUAUAAAUAUUUCUUUUGAUUUAAGAGUGCCAUUUUAAAGCAACACUAUACAAGGAAAUGCUUUUUUGUUGGAGUAUUGUAAAUAGAAGUUGAGAGAAAUGAUAGAUAGCACCAUUUAGAACAUCGUAACAUAAAAGUUAUUUUGCUUUUUUAAUUGAGUAUUAUAUUAUAUUGAAUUUUAACAGAAAA
This 1599-nucleotide long non-coding RNA is filed under the name Mytilus galloprovincialis (Mediterranean mussel). Lineage: Eukaryota; Metazoa; Mollusca; Bivalvia; Mytilida; Mytilidae. The record is from RNAcentral.